This 69-nucleotide transfer RNA is filed under the name Orestes guangxiensis. RNAcentral's name for it is "tRNA-Val". The record is from RNAcentral. Lineage: Eukaryota; Metazoa; Arthropoda; Insecta; Phasmatodea; Heteropterygidae.
CAGAAUUUAGUUUAUAGAAAAUAAUUCUUUUACAUUGAAUAGAAUUUAAGUGCGAUCUUUAAUUUCUGA